RNAcentral lists this ribosomal RNA (819 nucleotides) under uncultured eukaryote. RNAcentral's name for it is "SSU rRNA". It matches the Rfam family "Eukaryotic small subunit ribosomal RNA", at positions 629 to 1426 of the family's 1831-position model. The record is from RNAcentral.
CGGUGUUUAACUGGCGUGAUGUGGGACGUCCUACCGGUGGGCUUAGCCUCGCGAGGGGCGGCCCAACUAAUAUCCCGUCGCGGUGCUCUUUACUGAGUGUCGAGUCGGGCCGGUACGUUUACUUUGAACAAAUUAGAGUGCUUAAAGCAGGCUAUCCUCGCCUGAAUACUGCGUGCAUGGAAUAAUGGAAUAGGACCUCGGUUCUAUUUUGUUGGUUUUCGGAACCCCGAGGUAAUGAUUAAUAGGGACAGAUGGGGGCAUUCGUAUUGCGACGUUAGAGGUGAAAUUCUUGGAUCGUCGCAAGACGGACAGAAGCGAAAGCAUUUGCCAAAAAUGUUUUCAUUAAUCAAGAACGAAAGUUAGAGGUUCGAAGGCGAUCAGAUACCGCCCUAGUUCUAACCAUAAACGAUGCCAGCUAGCGAUCCGCCGAAGUUCCUCCGAUGACUCGGCGGGCAGCUUCCGGGAAACCAAAGCUUUUGGGUUCCGGGGGAAGUAUGGUUGCAAAGCUGAAACUUAAAGGAAUUGACGGAAGGGCACCACCAGGAGUGGAGCCUGCGGCUUAAUUUGACUCAACACGGGAAACCUCACCAGGCCCCGACACCGGAAGGAUUGACAGAUUGAUAGCUCUUUUUUGAUUCGGUGGGUGGUGGUGCAUGGCCGUUCUUAGUUGGUGGAGCGAUUUGUCUGGUUAAUUCCGAUAACGAACGAGACUCUAGCCUGCUAAAUAGGCGUACCUUAUGGUAUCGCGAAGGCCCCCGGCUUCGGCCGGUGGGUUUUUACUACCAACGUACAAACAAAUCUUCUUAGAGGGACAGGCGG